This 254-nucleotide ribosomal RNA is filed under the name uncultured bacterium. RNAcentral's name for it is "partial 16S ribosomal RNA". It matches the Rfam family "Bacterial small subunit ribosomal RNA", at positions 524 to 776 of the family's 1533-position model. The record is from RNAcentral.
CACGUAGGCACCAAGCGUUGUCCGGAUUUAUUGGGCGUAAAGAGCUUGUAGGCGGUUCAGUAAGUCGGGUGUGAAAACUUUGGGCUUAACCCAAAGCGUGCAUCUGAUACUGCUGUGACUUGAGUUCGGUAGGGGAGUGGGGAAUUCCUAGUGUAGCGGUGAAAUGCGCAGAUAUUAGGAGGAACACCGGUGGCGAAGGCGCCACUCUGGGCCGAAACUGACGCUGAGGAGCGAAAGCAUGGGUAGCAAACAGG